UGAGCCAGGUCACGAUGUC
Molecule: unclassified non-coding RNA, 19 nt
Filed under: Mus musculus (house mouse)
Lineage: Eukaryota; Metazoa; Chordata; Mammalia; Rodentia; Muridae
Description: oocyte_clustered_small_RNA10673
Source: RNAcentral